GGCUGGUCUGAGUGCAGUGGUGUUCACAACUAAUUGAUCACAGCUAGUUACGGAUUCCUUUGUUCCUUCUCCACUCACACUGCUUCACUUGACUAGCCUUAA
Molecule: unclassified non-coding RNA, 102 nt
Organism: Microcebus murinus (gray mouse lemur)
Lineage: Eukaryota; Metazoa; Chordata; Mammalia; Primates; Cheirogaleidae
Rfam family: Y RNA
About the family: Y RNAs are components of the Ro ribonucleoprotein particle (Ro RNP), in association with Ro60 and La proteins. The Y RNAs and Ro60 and La proteins are well conserved, but the function of the Ro RNP is not known. In humans the RNA component can be one of four small RNAs -- hY1, hY3, hY4 and hY5.
Source: Ensembl